CAUAGGUUAAUGAGGCGAACCGGGGGAACUGAAACAUCUAAGUACCCCGAGGAAAAGAAAUCAACCGAGAUUCCCCCAGUAGCGGCGAGCGAACGGGGAGCAGCCCAGAGCCUGAAUCAGUGUGUGUGUUAGUGGAAGCGUCUGGAAAGGCGCGCGAUACAGGGUGACAGCCCCGUACACAAAAAUGCACAUACUGUGAGCUCGAUGAGUAGGGCGGGACACGUGGUAUCCUGUCUGAAUAUGGGGGGACCAUCCUCCAAGGCUAAAUACUCCUGACUGACCGAUAGUGAACCAGUACCGUGAGGGAAAGGCGAAAAGAACCCCGGCGAGGGGAGUGAAAAAGAACCUGAAACCGUGUACGUACAAGCAGUGGGAGCACGCUUAGGCGUGUGACUGCGUACCUUUUGUAUAAUGGGUCAGCGACUUAUAUUCUGUAGCAAGGUUAACCGAAUAGGGGAGCCGAAGGGAAACCGAGUCUUAACUGGGCGUUAAGUUGCAGGGUAUAGACCCGAAACCCGGUGAUCUAGCCAUGGGCAGGUUGAAGGUUGGGUAACACUAACUGGAGGACCGAACCGACUAAUGUUGAAAAAUUAGCGGAUGACUUGUGGCUGGGGGUGAAAGGCCAAUCAAACCGGGAGAUAGCUGGUUCUCCCCGAAAGCUAUUUAGGUAGCGCCUCGUGAAUUCAUCUCCGGGGGUAGAGCACUGUUUCGGCAAGGGGGUCAUCCCGACUUACCAACCCGAUGCAAACUGCGAAUACCGGAGAAUGUUAUCACGGGAGACACACGGCGGGUGCUAACGUCCGUCGUGAAGAGGGAAACAACCCAGACCGCCAGCUAAGGUCCCAAAGUCAUGGUUAAGUGGGAAACGAUGUGGGAAGGCCCAGACAGCCAGGAUGUUGGCUUAGAAGCAGCCAUCAUUUAAAGAAAGCGUAAUAGCUCACUGGUCGAGUCGGCCUGCGCGGAAGAUGUAACGGGGCUAAACCAUGCACCGAAGCUGCGGCAGCGACGCUGAUGCGUUGUUGGGUAGGGGAGCGUUCUGUAAGCCUGUGAAGGUGUGCUGUGAGGCAUGCUGGAGGUAUCAGAAGUGCGAAUGCUGACAUAAGUAACGAUA
This 1111-nucleotide ribosomal RNA is filed under the name Escherichia coli. RNAcentral describes it as "partial 23S ribosomal RNA". It matches the Rfam family "Bacterial large subunit ribosomal RNA", at positions 165 to 1314 of the family's 2925-position model. Lineage: Bacteria; Pseudomonadati; Pseudomonadota; Gammaproteobacteria; Enterobacterales; Enterobacteriaceae. The record is from RNAcentral.